UACGUAGGGUGCAAGCGUUGUCCGGAAUUAUUGGGCGUAAAGAGCUUGUAGGCGGUUUGUCGCGUCUGCUGUGAAAUUUCGGGGCUCAACCCCGGACUUGCAGUGGGUACGGGCAGACUAGAGUGUGGUAGGGGAGACUGGAAUUCCUGGUGUAGCGGUGAAAUGCGCAGAUAUCAGGAGGAACACCGGUGGCGAAGGCGGGUCUCUGGGCCGAAAUUGACGCUGAGGAGCGAAAGCGUGGGGAGCAAACAGG
This 253-nucleotide ribosomal RNA is filed under the name uncultured bacterium. Its description in RNAcentral is "partial 16S ribosomal RNA". It matches the Rfam family "Bacterial small subunit ribosomal RNA", at positions 524 to 776 of the family's 1533-position model. The record is from RNAcentral.